GUUCACAUGAGACAUUUGGUAGAUCUCCAACCUUGUUGAAUAGGAUUUUAACAUCCAGGGGCAUUCGUAGAGAACAAAUUUCACUGCCCCCUCAUGAUGAUGUAGGAGAUUUAGCACACACUGAUGUGUCUAGCGUUGAGGCAGGGGAAACCCGUCUUCAAUCUCUCCCAGUGCUUCGAUCAUUACUACACCGGACAAGAGUUUCUUCUCUCACUUCUGCAUUUAAUUCUGCUGAUAGGCUUCCAGAUGGUUUUUUGUAUACUGAUCCUCUCAUUCCUAGAAGUCAAGAGCAGCCUCCUCCACCUGUUGAGGAUAGAGAUUCGUUCUCUAGCAUUGCUGCUGUUAUCAAUUCAGAGAGUCAAAUGGACACUGCUGUAGAAAUUGAUUCCAUGGUCUCUAUUUCAACAUCAUCCUCCAGAAGGAGAAAUGAUACUUUACAAGUUUCUGAUGUAGACAGUGGAAACUCUCGAGCACCAAGAAGGAGAAGAUUGGCUUGAAAAAGACCUCUAUCUGGGUCUCAUAAGGUUGAUCAAUGAAU
Molecule: unclassified non-coding RNA, 538 nt
Filed under: Hevea brasiliensis (rubber tree)
Lineage: Eukaryota; Viridiplantae; Streptophyta; Magnoliopsida; Malpighiales; Euphorbiaceae
Source: RNAcentral